GAUGAACGCUAGCGAUAGGCUUAACACAUGCAAGUCGAGGGGCAGCAUGAUCUUAGCUUGCUAAGGUUGAUGGCGACCGGCGCACGGGUGCGUAACGCGUAUGCAACUUGCCUUACAGAGGGGGAUAACCCGUUGAAAGACGGACUAAAACCGCAUACACUUGUAUUAUUGCAUGAUAUUACAAGGAAAUAUUUAUAGCUGUAAGAUAGGCAUGCGUCCCAUUAGCUGGUUGGUGAGGUAACGGCUCACCAAGGCGACGAUGGGUAGGGGAACUGAGAGGUUUAUCCCCCACACUGGUACUGAGACACGGACCAGACUCCUACGGGAGGCAGCAGUGAGGAAUAUUGGUCAAUGGGCGAGAGCCUGAACCAGCCAAGUCGCGUGAAGGAAGACAGUCCUAAGGAUUGUAAACUUCUUUUAUACGGGAAUAACGGGCGAUACGAGUAUUGCAUUGAAUGUACCGUAAGAAUAAGCAUCGGCUAACUCCGUGCCAGCAGGCCGCGGUAAUUACGGAGGAUGCGAGCGUUAUCCAGAUUUAUUGGGUUUAAAGGGUGCGUAAGUUGUUCGGUAAGUCAGCGGUGAAACCUGAACGCUCAACGUUCAGCCUGCCCGUUGAAACUGCCGGGCUUGAAUUCAGUGGCGGCAGGCGGAAUUCGUGGUGUAGCGGUGAAAUGCAUAGAUAUCACGAGGAACUCCGAUUGCGAAGGCAGCUUGCCAUACUGCGAACUGACACUGAAGCACGAAGGCGUGGGUAUCAAACAGGAUUAGAUACCCUGGUAGUCCACGCAGUAAACGAUGAUUACUAGGAGUUUGCGAUAUACCGUCAAGCUUCCACAGCGAAAGCGUUAAGUAAUCCACCUGGGGAGUACGCCGGCAACGGUGAAACUCAAAGGAAUUGACGGGGGCCCGCACAAGCGGAGGAACAUGUGGUUUAAUUCGAUGAUACGCGAGGAACCUUACCCGGGAUUGAAAUGUAGAUGACGGAUGGUGAAAACCGUCUUCCCUUCGGGGCUUCUAUGUAGGUGCUGCAUGGUUGUCGUCAGCUCGUGCCGUGAGGUGUCGGCUUAAGUGCCAUAACGAGCGCAACCCACAUCGGUAGUUGCUAACAGUUUUCGCUGAGGACUCUACCGAGACUGCCGUCGUAAGGCGUGAGGAAGGUGUGGAUGACGUCAAAUCAGCACGGCCCUUACAUCCGGGGCGACACACGUGUUACAAUGGGAGGGACAAAGGGCAGCUACCGGGCGACCGGAUGCGAAUCUCUAAACCCUUCCCCAGUUCGGAUCGGAGUCUGCAACUCGACUCCGUGAAGCUGGAUUCGCUAGUAAUCGCGCAUCAGCCAUGGCGCGGUGAAUACAAUCCAAGGCCU
This 1366-nucleotide ribosomal RNA is filed under the name uncultured bacterium. RNAcentral's name for it is "bacterial SSU rRNA". It matches the Rfam family "Bacterial small subunit ribosomal RNA", at positions 28 to 1381 of the family's 1533-position model. The record is from RNAcentral.